ACCAGCAGAGUUAGUACAUGGAAUAAAAAGGAGGAAGGGAUGCAGGUCUUUAAGAGAAGAUGGGAAAAUUAUUAGAAAAAAUGAUGUCUAGAUUAUGCAGCUUUUUGUUCAUUUUAUGAUUCAAAUGGCAAAGAGAAAACUGAUCAAUGUAUUCGUUUAUCAACUGAGACUUGCGUGUGAAAUCUAGUCUAAAAGUGUCCUUGUUCUAAGAUUAAGAUUAGAGUUAGUCUGAGGUACUACUACAAUUCCUUCAUGCUUUUAGAUAUUGGGAGCUGUUCCAAUGUACAUGUAAUUUUUUUUUCUAAGUACAGGACAAACCAAUACUACAAGGUGACACAAAAUCCUAGUAGAAAGGAAGCCCGCAAAUAUUUCUAUCUACUGUGUGUUAAAAUGGAAGGGACAGUCUA
RNAcentral lists this long non-coding RNA (407 nucleotides) under Bos taurus (domestic cattle). Its description in RNAcentral is "long non-coding RNA NONBTAT022283". Lineage: Eukaryota; Metazoa; Chordata; Mammalia; Artiodactyla; Bovidae. The record is from RNAcentral.